CCUACGGGUGGCAGCAGUGAGGAAUAUUGGUCAAUGGGCGAGAGCCUGAACCAGCCAAGUCGCGUGAAGGAUGACGGCCCUACGGGUUGUAAACUUCUUUUGUCAGGGAGCAAUUUGGUCCACGCGUGGGCUUAGCGAUAGUACCUGCCGAAAAAGCAUCGGCUAACUCCGUGCGAGCAGCCGCGGUAAUUCGGAGGAUGCGAGCGUUAUCCGGAUUUAUUGGGUUAAAAGGGUGCGAAGGCGGAAUAUCAAGUCAGCGGUAAAAAUUCGGGGCUCAACCCCGUCGUGCCGUUGAAACUGAUGUACUGGAGUGGGCGAGAAGUAAGCGGAAUGCGUGGUGUAGCGGUGAAAUGCAUAGAGAUCACGCAGAAC
Molecule: ribosomal RNA, 372 nt
Filed under: uncultured bacterium
Lineage: Bacteria
Description: partial 16S ribosomal RNA
Rfam family: Bacterial small subunit ribosomal RNA
Source: RNAcentral